Non-coding RNA from Pelobates cultripes (western spadefoot toad), 162 nucleotides. The record is from the annotation of a GenBank genome assembly. Lineage: Eukaryota; Metazoa; Chordata; Amphibia; Anura; Pelobatidae.
CACAUUCUCACUACAGCCUCUCUGACACCCUGUAUAAUUAAAAAAAAAAUAUAUAUAUAUAUAAAAAGUAUAUAUAUAUAUAUAUAUAUAUAUAUAUAUAUAUAUAUAUAUAUAUAUAUAUACAUAUACACAGGUUGUCAGAUAGGCUGUAGUGAGAAUGUG